UACGUAGGGGGCAAGCGUUGUCCGGAUUUACUGGGCGUAAAGCGCGUGUAGGCGGAAGCGCAAGUCCGGUGUGAAAGCCCCCGGCUCAACCGAAGAACGUCGGCCGAUACUGCCGUUCUUGAGGGAUGCAGAGGAGAUUGGAAUUCCCGGUGUAGCGGUGAAAUGUGUAGAGAUCGGGAGGAACACCGGUGGCGAAGGCGGGUCUCUGGGCAUCUCCUGACGCUGAGGCGCGAAAGCGUGGGGAUCAAACAGG
Molecule: ribosomal RNA, 253 nt
Filed under: uncultured bacterium
Lineage: Bacteria
Description: partial 16S ribosomal RNA
Rfam family: Bacterial small subunit ribosomal RNA
Source: RNAcentral